This 465-nucleotide ribosomal RNA is filed under the name uncultured Sphingobacteriales bacterium. Its description in RNAcentral is "bacterial SSU rRNA". It matches the Rfam family "Bacterial small subunit ribosomal RNA", at positions 917 to 1381 of the family's 1533-position model. Lineage: Bacteria; Pseudomonadati; Bacteroidota; Sphingobacteriia; Sphingobacteriales. The record is from RNAcentral.
ACGGGGCCGCACAAGCGAGGACAUGUGGUUUAAUUCGAUGAUACGCGAGGAACCUUACCUGGGCUUAAAUGUAGAGUGCAUGAGGUAGAAAUACUUCUUCCCUUCGGGGCUCUUUGCAAGGUGCUGCAUGGUUGUCGUCAGCUCGUGCCGUGAGGUGUCGGGUUAAGUCCCAUAACGAGCGCAACCCUUAUCGUUAGUUGCCAGCGGGUAAUGCCGGGGACUCUAGCGAAACUGCCGGUGUAAACCGAGAGGAAGGUGGGGAUGACGUCAAAUCAGCACGGCCCUUAUGUCCAGGGCUACACACGUGUUACAAUGGCCGGUACAGAGGGCAGCUACCUGGAGACAGGAUGCGAAUCUCGAAAACCGGUCUCAGUUCGGAUCGAAGUCUGCAACUCGACUUCGUGAAGCUGGAUUCGCUAGUAAUCGCGCAUCAGCUAUGGCGCGGUGAAUACGUUCCCGGGCCUU